RNAcentral lists this ribosomal RNA (980 nucleotides) under Bifidobacterium pullorum subsp. gallinarum DSM 20670. Its description in RNAcentral is "bacterial SSU rRNA". It matches the Rfam family "Bacterial small subunit ribosomal RNA", at positions 8 to 998 of the family's 1533-position model. The record is from RNAcentral. Lineage: Bacteria; Bacillati; Actinomycetota; Actinomycetes; Bifidobacteriales; Bifidobacteriaceae.
AGGGUUCGAUUCUGGCUCAGGAUGAACGCUGGCGGCGUGCUUAACACAUGCAAGUCGAACGGGAUCCCUGGCGCUUGCGCCGGGGUGAGAGUGGCGAACGGGUGAGUAAUGCGUGACCAACCUGCCCCAUGCACCGGAAUAGCUCCUGGAAACGGGUGGUAAUGCCGGAUGCUCCAGAUGACCGCAUGGGAUUCUGGGAAAGCUUUUGCGGCAUGGGAUGGGGUCGCGUCCUAUCAGCUUGUUGGUGGGGUGAUGGCCCACCAAGGCUUCGACGGGUAGCCGGCCUGAGAGGGCGACCGGCCACAUUGGGACUGAGAUACGGCCCAGACUCCUACGGGAGGCAGCAGUGGGGAAUAUUGCGCAAUGGGCGAAAGCCUGACGCAGCGACGCCGCGUGCGGGAUGGAGGCCUUCGGGUUGUAAACCGCUUUUAUCGGGGAGCAAGCGAGAGUGAGUGUACCCGUUGAAUAAGCACCGGCUAACUACGUGCCAGCAGCCGCGGUAAUACGUAGGGUGCAAGCGUUAUCCGGAUUUAUUGGGCGUAAAGGGCUCGUAGGCGGUUCGUCGCGUCUGGUGUGAAAGUCCAUCGCUUAACGGUGGAUCUGCGCCGGGUACGGGCGGGCUGGAGUGCGGCAUGGGAGACUGGAAUUCCCGGUGUAACGGUGGAAUGUGUAGAUAUCGGGAAGAACACCAAUGGCGAAGGCAGGUCUCUGGGCCGUUACUGACGCUGAGGAGCGAAAGCGUGGGGAGCGAACAGGAUUAGAUACCCUGGUAGUCCACGCCGUAAACGGUGGAUGCUGGAUGUGGGGCCCUUUCCACGGGUUCCGUGUCGGAGCUAACGCGUUAAGCAUCCCGCCUGGGGAGUACGGCCGCAAGGCUAAAACUCAAAGAAAUUGACGGGGGCCCGCACAAGCGGCGGAGCAUGCGGAUUAAUUCGAUGCAACGCGAAGAACCUUACCUGGGCUUGACAUGUUCCCGACGA